This 379-nucleotide long non-coding RNA is filed under the name Anser brachyrhynchus (Pink-footed goose). RNAcentral describes it as "lncRNA (ENSABRG00000012054.1)". Lineage: Eukaryota; Metazoa; Chordata; Aves; Anseriformes; Anatidae. The record is from RNAcentral.
AUGUGGUGUGAUCACAAUAUUGGCAUGGCUCCUCUCAGACCAUUUUUCCUGAAUGAUGGCCAGUUUUUCAGUGCUUCAGCAUCCUCCAGGUCUCCUACCGGUACACCCCGGUCUUUUGGCUUCUGGGAGGGGUCACAGCUGCAGGAUAGUAGAGCCCAUCGCCAGCGUGGAGCUCCUGGUCAUGCACCCAGAUUUGUUGCAGUGAGGGGGAAAAAAAAUCCACAACAAACAGCAACGAGAAAAUCUGGUGCUAACUUCUACAUAUGUGACAGGCCCUGAGUUACCUCGAGGGGAUUCAGAGGAUGCAUGGACUAGAAAGUAAACGGAGGGGGAACACAGGGAACUUCAGCUGCAAUAAAAGUACCUCUGUAGGAUCCGA